This is a long non-coding RNA of Populus trichocarpa (black cottonwood), 509 nucleotides long. RefSeq lists it as uncharacterized. The record is from RefSeq and is a predicted model, not a curated record. Lineage: Eukaryota; Viridiplantae; Streptophyta; Magnoliopsida; Malpighiales; Salicaceae. The transcript is spliced from 2 exons.
CCCCGCCCCGCCCCGCCCCGGAGCCCCCUCUGAUCAAAGACGAGAUCAUCUUGAAUGCUUCGAGCUCCAAGUGGUAAAUGCUUGAUGGAUCUUAAUCAAUCAUCUUGCCAUGUGGGAAAUGGGAAAAAAGGGGGAAAGUUCUUUCAGUUCCAGCAAUAAUUUCUUAGCAGCCAUGAAGAGAGCUACAUUUAAAUGAUUAGUGAUCCUAGGGAAAGUGGCAGGGAAUUUAAUCAUGAAACAGAAACCAGGAUUGAAGAAGCACAUAACAGAGAAUUAGGGGGCAUGACCCUGCAGCUACUCCACCAGAACUUUCAUCGGGGAGCACGUUUCUGAUAUAAAUAAAGCCUCUUACAUACACAAAUCAACACCAUCCCAAGAAAUACGAGGACACCCUCUAUUGCCAGCUUAACCUAAGAUCCUGUGAAUUUCUUAACCUAAGAAAAUGAUCAUGGAUCGUUCUUUAGGUUUCCACAUAAUUUAUCUCCAAAUAAAUCAAUGAUCCUUCUCUA